RNAcentral lists this ribosomal RNA (253 nucleotides) under uncultured bacterium. Its description in RNAcentral is "partial 16S ribosomal RNA". It matches the Rfam family "Bacterial small subunit ribosomal RNA", at positions 524 to 776 of the family's 1533-position model. The record is from RNAcentral.
UACGGAGGUGGCAAGCGUUGCUCGGAUUCAUUGGGCGUAAAGGGUGCGUAGGCGGCGCGGUAAGUCGGGUGUGAAAUCUCGGAGCUUAACUCCGAAACUGCAUUCGAUACUGCCGUGCUUGAGGACUGGAGAGGAGACUGGAAUUUACGGUGUAGCGGUGAAAUGCGUAGAUAUCGUAAGGAAGACCAGUGGCGAAGGCGGGUCUCUGGACAGUUCCUGACGCUGAGGCACGAAGGUCAGGGGAGCAAACGGG